GCCCAGGUGGCGGAAUUGGUAGACGCACCAGAUUCAGGGUCUGGCGGUCGCAAGGCCGUGGAGGUUCGAGUCCUCUCCUGGGCACCA
RNAcentral lists this transfer RNA (87 nucleotides) under Anaeromyxobacter sp. RNAcentral describes it as "tRNA-Leu". It matches the Rfam family "tRNA". Rfam says of the family: Transfer RNA (tRNA) molecules are approximately 80 nucleotides in length. Their secondary structure includes four short double-helical elements and three loops (D, anti-codon, and T loops). Further hydrogen bonds mediate the characteristic L-shaped molecular structure. tRNAs have two regions of fundamental functional importance: the anti-codon, which is responsible for specific mRNA codon recognition, and the 3' end, to which the tRNAs corresponding amino acid is attached (by aminoacyl-tRNA synthetases). tRNAs cope with the degeneracy of the genetic code in two manners: having more than one tRNA (with a specific anti-codon) for a particular amino acid; and 'wobble' base-pairing, i.e. permitting non-standard base-pairing at the 3rd anti-codon position. The record is from RNAcentral. RNAcentral also lists the same sequence under 4 other names. Lineage: Bacteria; Pseudomonadati; Myxococcota; Myxococcia; Myxococcales; Anaeromyxobacteraceae.